AUGAACAACCAGGCGAGGGCCCCACCCCGCACCUCGGCCCGGGUCUUGGCCUGGGUCCGGGCUUCGACCCCCGUCAGGACCUCGAUCCCUGUCCGGACCCCAACGCCUGCCCGGGCCUCCUCCACUCCUGCCCGGACCCCACAUCCCGCCCAGAUUCCGACCUCGGUCCGGACCCUGAAUCCUGUCCUGAUUCCGACCUCCUCCCGGGCUCCGACUUCCGUCCAGACCCCAGCUCCGGCCAGGACCCCGAAUCCCGUCCAGAUGACCAGCCCGGCCCAAACUCCGACUCCCAUGCCAACUCUGGCUCGGACUCCGACUCCCGUCCAGACCUCAACCUCGGCCCGAAUCCCGAAUCCGGUCCAGACGCCGACCCCGGCUGGAGGCCCGACUCCCAUCCCGACUUUGGCCCGGACCCUGACUCCCGUCCAGACCCCGGCCUCGGCGUGGACCCCGAAUCCGGUCCAGAUGCUGACCCCACCCCGAGCCCCAGUUCCUGUCCCAACCCAGCCCCGGACCCCGACUCCCAUUCAGACCUACGCCCGGACCCCAACUCCCGUCCAGACUCCGAAUCCCAUCCAGAUGCCGACCCCGCCCCGAACCCCAACUUCUGGCCCGACCCUGGCCCGGCCCCCGGCCCCCCUUCCGACCUCCGCCCGGACCCCGACUCCCGUCCCGACCCUGGCCCGGCCCCCGGCCCCCCUUCCGACCCCGCCCCGAACCCCGACUCCCGUCCCGACCCUGGCCCGGCCCCCGGCCCCCCUUCCGACCUCCGCCCGGACCCCGACUCCCGUCCCGACCCCGACCCCGCUCGCAAUCCGGACUGCCGUCCGAACUCCAACCCGGAUCCGGACCCCGACUCCCCUGCAGAUGCCGACCCAGGUCCGGGCCCCCAUUCCGGCCCGGACGCCUACUCAGAUCUGGACCCCGACUCCGGCCCGGACCCCAACCCCAAUUUCAUCCCCGGGGGAGGUCGAGGCCGCGGCCGCGGCCCCUGCCUCGGAAUCCUUCGGGAGCUCGGCCCUGCCCCUGGAACCGCCCCCAGAACCUGCCUCGGAGCCCACGACGGCCUCGCCCCACCAGGAUCUUUCGCCCACGCCGAGCGUGAAGCCCCUCCCAUCGGUCACAAAUGGGUUCGGGUCCACCCAAGAGCCCCUUCCUGACCUCACUCCACCGGCCACUGAUUUCCUGGGGCCCACCCUUGGGUCCACCUCGAGGGCAGACUCCUCGGCCACCAAGUUGACCGAUUCCACCUCGGAAUCCGUUCGGGUGCCCAUCCCGGGGACCGACCCCUUCGCGGCCACCGCCUUAGCCACGUCCACCAACACCUUCGCCCCCGUCGGCGAGAGCUGCUCGGUGGACAAGAUCGCGGUCCGAGUGAUCUACUGGUGA
RNAcentral lists this long non-coding RNA (1389 nucleotides) under Canis lupus dingo (dingo). RNAcentral describes it as "lncRNA (ENSCAFG00020015706.1)". Lineage: Eukaryota; Metazoa; Chordata; Mammalia; Carnivora; Canidae. The record is from RNAcentral.